UCGGGAAUUUUGGGCAAUGGGCGAAAGCCUGACCCAGCAACGCCGCGUGAGGGAUGAAGGCCUUCGGGUCGUAAACCUCUGUCAGGAGGGAAGAAUUCGUUCUCGAUUAACACGCGAGAGCGUUGACGGUACCUCCAAAGGAAGCGCCGGCUAACUCCGUGCCAGCAGCCGCGGUAAUACGGAGGGCGCAAGCGUUGCUCGGAAUUACUGGGCGUAAAGCGCGUGCAGGCGGUCGAGUAAGUCGGUUGUGAAAUCCCCAGGCUCAACCUGGGAACCGCAUCCGAAACUGCUCGGCUAGAGUCCCGGAGAGGGAGGCGGAACUCCCAGUGUAGGGGUGAAAUCCGUAGAUAUUGGGAAGAACACCGGCGGCGAAAGCGGCCUCCUGGACGGUGACUGACGCUGAGACGCGAAAGCGUGGGGAGCAAACAGGAUUAGAUACCCUGGUAGUCCACGCUGUAAACGUUGCGCACUAGGUGUCGGGAGAUUCACCCUCUCGGUGCCGACGCUAACGCAUUAAG
This 518-nucleotide ribosomal RNA is filed under the name uncultured Pseudomonadota bacterium. Its description in RNAcentral is "bacterial SSU rRNA". It matches the Rfam family "Bacterial small subunit ribosomal RNA", at positions 355 to 864 of the family's 1533-position model. Lineage: Bacteria; Pseudomonadati; Pseudomonadota. The record is from RNAcentral.